RNAcentral lists this long non-coding RNA (2876 nucleotides) under Gallus gallus (chicken). Its description in RNAcentral is "lncRNA (ENSGALG00010030063.1)". The record is from RNAcentral. Lineage: Eukaryota; Metazoa; Chordata; Aves; Galliformes; Phasianidae.
GUUUAAAAUGCUAAGGCAGCCGGAGCAGCUCGCUGGGGUCUCUGCAAUCAGGAAAGGUAUAAAGGCUGUGAAUCAGAUGGCACUGCUAAACUGUGGAAGAAUUGAUGGGGAAACUGGCACGGACACGCAUGAAGAAGCAUUUCAGAGCUGGAGCCGCCUGCUUGGGUAGCGUGAGAUCUGCUAAGGGCUGAGUCCUCACUGCAGUUCGGAAUGUUGGAGAGGCUCUGGAUACUGCCAAGCUGGUGGUGCCCCAGCAUCCUUGUGAGGUAGAUGCGCAGUACCAAACACAUGGGACCUGAGUUCUGGCCUGGGUUCGCAGCAGUGGGAACCAUGAUGUCAUUACGAGUUGGAAACCUUGUGCAGUGCUCGGCAUGGAACGGGUGGGGGGACUGAUGGGUUAGUCAGCAUGGAGCUGAGGCAGCGACAGAUUUACUGCUCCUUACACUUCCAUACGACUGAGGGAGAGGAAGCCUUGCCCAGCAUGAAGGUAUCCAUCGGGGGUUACAAGGUCAGCAUUCAAGAUGUUGGGUUACGUUCCAGGCCAAAAGCGAAAUGAUGAGUGACAUGGCCCACUGUCAUCGGAAUAUAUCAUCGUGAUCUUGUGCUAUUUCUGAUUGGUGCAGAAGCAGGAAAUUCCAGCAGUCUCCCAAGCAAGCUCUCUCCUCUGGGAUUCUGUCUGUGCUGGCAUCCCUGUCAGAGAUGACUUUUCACACCAUCAAGGCCACUUUCUCAGCUUAUUGACAGCUUUAUGAGCGCUGUUGGAAGAGCCCCAGCUUCGUUCCUCGGCUCCGGCUUUCCGUCGGGCGAGAGAGAGUUCUGUGGAGGUGUUUCUGCUUGGCUGAAGUUCUGAAGAGCAGCAUUCUUUCUCACACCAUCGCGUGACUCCUCCUGGGGCCAUCGUUGGUCAUUAAACAUGUUGAGAGCUCUGCCUUUGCUCUUGACACAACGUUAAGAAUGUGAUGAAACUGCGUGGAAACAAAUAGAUUGUAAAUAAGCUUGUUCAGUAAAUAUGCACAAACUGGUCUGGCUACAUCCAGAUGUUCUGGCUUUGUCUCUUCUGCAUUGCAGGGCUGGGAGGUCCCUGAGUGAUUGCACCUGGACGUGUGUUACCUGCUGCUUCUCCACCCUUGAGAUGUAUGAUCACAUCAGGACAACUGGUCAGGAUGUGCUACAGAGCAGCAUUUUUAGUCUCCUUGACUUAGCAGAAAAUGGCAUCCUAGCCCCAAAGCGUUGUGGUUGUCUGGAUACACGUUCACACGUUGCAAGGCUUCUACAGAAAAUCAGAGGAUCUCCUUUAAAGUCGUACCUUGGCCUGAACCACGAGCCUUGGAUGUAAAGCUCCAUGUGGAGCUCUAUCCAAACUGUGGAGUGUACGUGGAUUUCCAGAAAGCUUUUGUCAAGUUUUCACAUCAAAGGCUCUGGCUGUAAGUUACGGCAGGAGGUGAAGGCGGUCCUCGUAGCUGGCUGAGGGGUAGGAAUCACAGCAUCAUAGCAUGGAAUACAUGUGACAGAUGGCUGCGGCUGGGAUGGAGCCGUUCCUUUCCCUGCUCAGAAGAGGGCAAUCAGCAAAACCUCAGGGCAGCUCCAAGGGACAUGAGAGUCUUGCUUUACACACGCACAGAGCAGCCCUGGAAGGAGUGAAAUGAAGAACUGUCAAGGAAAGUUGGAGGAGUUGUGCUGUCCCAAGCGUGCAGGCACGGUGCUUGUAAAACCACAGGGUGUGAGCGUGGUAUUAGCAAGCCUUUGUGUCAUCUCCAGGGGAGAGCUGAGUCCCAUUGAAGGCAGAGGACAGACGUCAUUCAGAGGCAGAAGCCCUGCAGCCAAGACACCCAAACCCUGCUCAUUGCCUUGGCCUUGCUGCAGCAGGUAGCCAAGCAGCUGGCUGUGUGAGUGUGCGGCGCGUGGCUCAGCACAACCUGUGCUCCAGAGGACGUCCAGGAGAGAUUAGCAGGAGGAAAUCUGUAGCUAAUGGGAGUUUCCAUUUAUGAGGAGAUUCUACAGCUCUUCCAGCAUUCCCCUGCACUGGUCCCAGGAGGUCCCAGGUUCCUUCCAAGCUUAUGCCCAGGAUUUGGUUUCAGCAGUAAUCUAAGGGAAGUGGUUGGCUCUCUCCUGCCUGUGCCUGACCCCUGUCCAACAGCACGAAGGAGAAUGAAGAGGAUGGACUUUGCUGGAGGCAGGAACCUCUCCAAGGUGUGGAUCUGCUGCAUGUGCCCAUCUGGAAUUUUUAACGCCGUGAGGCUCAAGGGACGUCUUGACUGUUCCUCAUUCCAACUCUUGCUGGAUUACCUGUCCAAGGAGUGGAGCAGCCUGGAGGAGCCUCUUUGUUAUUCCCUCAUCCAUUUGUUUGGAGAUGCAGACAUAGAGCCGGAAGCACUGAAGGCUUUAUCUACCUGACCUUCUGAACAGCAGGCUAUGAAAUGUUGUCCAUUAACCUCACAGCUGAGCCCACUAACUCACUUCUGGCUGAAACGUCUUUGCCACUCCGUCUGGGCAGAGCAUGCAGCUCCAUAAUUGCAGCUGCUGCUGAGAUAACAAAGUCUGCUUUGGGACCAGCAGUGCAGCCCCUGGGAAGCACUGAUCCCCCUCUGUGUCAGGAUGUGCUGUCUGCAGGGCAGCUGAGUGAGUCAAGGGCUGGAUUUGCCUUGCUCUGAACUGAACAAAUACAGCAAGGCACAGCCUGCUCCAAGCUUCUUUAGGUCCAGCAAGAGACAGCAAAAUUCACUGGUUUCACUUUGAGGUGUGAUGGAAGACAGAUCCUAUCAGAAACUUCUCUGUGUCAUCUGGUUGGCCAAGACACCUACAGGUAAUGAGAUGCUUUCCACUUAAUUCAAUCACCAGUUAAUUCGAUCCUCUAUUUAAUUUGUUCCAAACGUCUG